Molecule: long non-coding RNA, 689 nt
Organism: Rhododendron vialii
Lineage: Eukaryota; Viridiplantae; Streptophyta; Magnoliopsida; Ericales; Ericaceae
Exons: 2
Source: RefSeq, a predicted model, not a curated record
CUUCUACAUCUUGCAUUGCAUCAUUAAUGGCAAACCAAGGCCAAGGGAAGAAGUGUUUUCCGUUUGCAGGGAAUGUGAGGUCCGAACUGCAGAGAAUUUAAAUGAGUUCAAGAUUGUGAGCAUGAUACUAAACGAAACACUCCGGCUCUACCCACCGGUCGUGGCGCUCAUGAGGCAAACCUUGAAAAGCGUAAAGCUAAGGAACCCUCAACGUUCCAACCAAUACCCAACUCUACCUGGCCAUGAUGGUGGUGCACCACGACACUGAGCUAUGGGGAGUAGAUGCUAAGGAGUUCAACCCGAUGAGAUUCACUGAGGCUCGGAAGCAUUUCGCAUCGUUUAUCCCAUUUGGUUUGGGUGCCAGGAUUUGCGUAGGCCAGAAUCUUGCUGUGGUGGAAGCGAAGAUUGCAUUAGCUAUGAUAAUUAGACGGUAUUAUCUCUCUGUAUCGCUGUCAUACGUUCAUGCCCCUACUCAGUAUGUGACACUGCAACUUCAGCAUGGUGCACAUAUACUCUUUAGGAGGGUUUAAUUGUAAUGUUGGUCCCUAAAGUGUUAGUGAAGUGACACUUUUAUCCCAAAUGGAAAAAUUGGGUUUAUCAAGUGUCCUAUAUUUGAAACUUGUAUUUAAAUGGUCUCCGGAGCUAACUCGUGUUGGUAAUCAAAUUGAGGUCCUCCUUUAAUCAAUCAA